AUGAACGCUGACAGAAUGCUUCACACAUGCAAGUCUUUGGCGAAGCUGUGCUUGCACAGCCUAGCCAAGGCGGACGGGUGAGUAACGCGUAAGGAACUUGCCCUGCAGUCAGGGAUAACAGACGGAAACGACUGAUAAGACCUGGUAAAGUCAGGCGGACUCAUGUCCAGCCUGAUGAAAAGAGAUGCUGCAGGAGAGCCUUGCGUCCUAUUAGCUUGUUGGUGGGGUAACGGCCCACCAAGGCGAUGAUAGGUAGCCGGCCUGAGAGGGUGGACGGCCACAAGGGGACUGAGAUACGGCCCUUACUCCUACGGGAGGCAGCAGUGGGGAAUAUUGGACAAUGGGGGCAACCCUGAUCCAGCAAUUCUGUGUGCACGAUGAAGGUUUUCGGAGUGUAAAGUGCUUUCAGCAGGGAAGAAAAAAAUGACGGUACCUGCAGAAGAAGCGACGGCUAAAUACGUG
This 462-nucleotide ribosomal RNA is filed under the name uncultured bacterium. RNAcentral describes it as "partial 16S ribosomal RNA". It matches the Rfam family "Bacterial small subunit ribosomal RNA", at positions 29 to 507 of the family's 1533-position model. The record is from RNAcentral.